GACGAACGCUGGCGGCGUGCCUAAUACAUGCAAGUAGAACGCUGAAGGAGGAGCUUGCUUCUCUGGAUGAGUUGCGAACGGGUGAGUAACGCGUAGGUAACCUGCCUGGUAGCGGGGGAUAACUAUUGGAAACGAUAGCUAAUACCGCAUAAGAGUAGAUGUUGCAUGACAUUUGCUUAAAAGGUGCAAUUGCAUCACUACCAGAUGGACCUGCGUUGUAUUAGCUAGUUGGUGGGGUAACGGCUCACCAAGGCGACGAUACAUAGCCGACCUGAGAGGGGGAGCGGCCACACUGGGACUGAGACACGGCCCAGACUCCUACGGGAGGCAGCAGUAGGGAAGCUUCGGCAAUGGACGGAAGUCUGACCGAGCAACGCCGCGUGAGGGAAGAAGGUUUUCGGAUCGUAAAGCUCGGUUGUAAGAGAAGAACGAGUGUGAGAGUGGAAAGUUCACACUGUGACGGUAUCUUACCAGAAAGGGACGGCUAACUACGUG
RNAcentral lists this ribosomal RNA (495 nucleotides) under uncultured bacterium. RNAcentral describes it as "partial 16S ribosomal RNA". It matches the Rfam family "Bacterial small subunit ribosomal RNA", at positions 28 to 507 of the family's 1533-position model. The record is from RNAcentral.